CACGUGCUUCCUUCGUGGUCGCAACUCCUUCCCUGUCUCCGAAGGAAAGCAGUCAUCAUCUUCGUUUCCGGUGGGCAGAGACGUCCAUGGGCGUUGACGUCCUGCAGGCGUAGCACGAGAAUUUUUAAAGAAGAAGACCCCGUUAGAUUAGCCUGCUGCAGUAGAACUACUCGAGCGGGCUAUUUGAGGAGGGUCUUUGCUUGCCGGUACCUGAGCAAGCACCUGAUGGCCAGAAACAGGCGUGAACGAAUGUAGAGGAGAGAGAGACGUCACCAGCAGCCAGAUUAGGGUUGUUUUCUUGUUCUUGGAGGUGGUCGAAAAGGACGAGCCACUGCAAUCAAAUUUAUCCGAGAGCUUUAGGAAAUAUCAAUUUUCCCGAUGGGCACUUGAAUCAUCCCGAAGACACAGACUUACAAGUGGCAUUCGCAUUUUUAGGGAGAGAAAGAGCUUAUCUCCGUUCGUGACGUUACUCCGUCGCUCGCCACCAUCAUCUAUUUCUCCGACGUAAUGAAACAUUAACACGACUCUUAAUUUACUCUACUUUAGGAAGGUAGAGGAGAGGCAGAACGACG
Molecule: long non-coding RNA, 572 nt
Filed under: Musa acuminata (dwarf banana)
Lineage: Eukaryota; Viridiplantae; Streptophyta; Magnoliopsida; Zingiberales; Musaceae
Description: long non-coding RNA (MACU_LNC004918)
Source: RNAcentral